RNAcentral lists this ribosomal RNA (519 nucleotides) under uncultured soil bacterium. Its description in RNAcentral is "bacterial SSU rRNA". It matches the Rfam family "Bacterial small subunit ribosomal RNA", at positions 35 to 573 of the family's 1533-position model. The record is from RNAcentral.
GCUGGCGGCGUGCUUAACACAUGCAAGUCGAGCGGAAAGGCCCUUCGGGGUACUCGAGCGGCGAACGGGUGAGUAACACGUGAGUAACCUGCCCUUGGCUCUGGGAUAAGCCCGGGAAACUGGGUCUAAUACCGGAUAUGACCAUCGGAUGCAUGUCUGAUGGUGGAAAGUUUUUCGGCUGAGGAUGGACUCGCGGUCUAUCAGCUUGUUGGUGGGGUGAUGGCCUACCAAGGCGACGACGGAUAGCCGGCCUGAGAGGGUGACCGGCCACACUGGGACUGAGACACGGCCCAGACUCCUACGGGAGGCAGCAGUGGGGAAUAUUGCGCAAUGGGCGAAAGCCUGACGCAGCGACGCCGCGUGGGGGAUGAAGGCCUUCGGGUUGUAAACCUCUUUCACCACCGACGAAGCUAACGUGACGGUAGGUGGGGAAGAAGCACCGGCUAACUACGUGCCAGCAGCCGCGGUAAUACGUAGGGCGCAAGCGUUGUCCGGAAUUAUUGGCGUAAAGAGCUCGUA